GGGGCCGGGUUCCGCCCUCGCGCGGGGAGGCCGCGGGAGGCGCGGGAGCGACGCGAUCCCGGGCGCCCGGAACGCCCGCGCGGGGAUCGGCAGCCCCUGUCGCAGCGUGGGAGCCCCGGGAGCCAGCUGACAUCCCGGCCCCAUGUCAAGCUUUCUCGGCGUGCUCCGAACUUGGUCGCAGCCCACCGUCGCGUUUCACUGGACCGGGAAAGCUUUACCGCGGAGUUUAACGCACACUCAGGUCGCAUUUCCUUUCCCAAGGCUGGGUUCCAAAACAAAACAAAACAAAAACAGCUUUAUGGAGGUCUGAUUCACAACCCAUACGAUUCACCGAUUUAAAGUGCAUAGUAAGUGGGUUUUAGUAUAGUCACCGACCUGUGCAACCACCACCGGGAUCAAUUUUAGGACAUUCGGUUACACAAAAUCGCUUGUACCCAUCAACAGCCACGCCGGAUUCCUCCCAACCCGCGCCCAGCCGUUGGCUCUCACCCAUCUUUCUGUCUCUACAGAUCUGCCUAACGUGGAUAUUUCAUAUAAAUGGAAUUCUAUGAUAUGCAGCCUUUUCUGUCGGGCUUAUUUCACUUUACUUUUCGACGUUCAUCCAUGUUAUACAUGUAUCGGUACUUCAUUCUUUCUAUCACCAACUUGUAUUCCAUUGAAUAAAUAUACCACUUUGCAUUUAUCCCAUCAUCAACUGAUGGACAUAUGGGUUGUUUCCAUUUGGGGGCUAUUAUGAAUAAUACUGCGGUGAACAUUCGGGUGCAAGAUUUUGUGUGGAUAUAUGCUUUCAUUUCUCCUGGGUAUAUACCCAGGAGUAGAAUUGUUGGAUCAUGUUUAACCUGAACUGCCAGAUGUUUUCCAAAGCAGCCACACCAUUUUAUAUUCCCACCAACAAUAUAUGAGGGUUCCAAUUUCUCCAUAUCCUCACCAACACUUGUUAUCAUCUAUCUUUUUAACGAUAGCCUUUCUAGUGGGUGUGAUAUUUCAUCGUGGUUUUGAUUUGCAUAAGGUAUAUGUUUUUGUUUGCUUGCUUGCUUUUCCUUUCUGUUGUUUUUAGAAAUACGAAGGACAGGCGCCUGUGAGGCUCAGUCGGUUAAGCCUCCAACUCUUCAUCUCGGCUCAGAUCGUGAUCUCACGGAUCGUGGGAUCAAGCCCGAAGUCUGGCUCUGCUGACAGUGUGAAGCCUGCUUGGGGUUCUCUCUCUCUUCUCUCUUUCCCUACCUAACCCCUCUCUCUCCCUCUCUCAAAAUAAACAAACAUUAAAAAAAGAAAGAAGCUCAGGGGCAAAGGAACUGAUCUUACUUUUUCUUCUUAAUUGUGUUGUCUCGAGUUGGGCAAAUUGCAAGGUUUGAGGGCACAGGCCUCAGGACUUCUGACCCCAGUUACAAAUUUGGGGGUUCCCCCCAAAUAGAAACAAAUUAAAAAUAAAAAAACAGGGGCACCUGCAUGGCUCAGUCAGUUGAGCAUCUGACUCUUGGGGAGUCUCCUGUCUCUCUCUCUCUCUCUCUCCCUCCCUCUCUCUCACUGCCCCUCCAUGGUUUGCUCUCUCUCUUUCUCUCUCUUUCUCAGAAAAUAAACAAAUAAACAUUAAACAAACAAAACUGGGGGCUCCCAAACCACCUUCACUUUUGAUAAUUCUCUGGAAGGCCUCCCAGAACUCACAGAGGCACUCCCCAUGGCUGUGGUUCCUGAUGAAGUCAGCUAAGGGAAGAAGUGCAGAGGGCAAAGUGUGGGGGCCUCCACACGCAAAGCUGCUGUCGCCUCCCAUGCAGUCAGGGCGUGUGACACGCCCAGCCUGGGUGUGUGAGGAUUGCACACCAGGGAAGCUUGUUUGCUGUUCAGUGUUUAUUGGAGCUUCCAGUAUGUAGGCAUGACUGAUUGAUUGAUUGAUUGCCCUUGUGGCUGAAGUCAGUCUUCAGGUCAACUUGACGAUGCAUGAUGGGAUCUCUCAGCUACAUCACCUGGAUGGGUCUUUCUGGCACGACCAGCCUCCACCUUAGAGUACAGAUUGGCCUGCCCUCGUCUAAACAAAGACGCUUUUAUCAGGUGCGGCAUAGAUUACCUCCCAGAAGGCAAAGACAAAGGCCAGACCUCCUCUUCAGGCAAGCCCAAAUUCUUUACUGCACCACCUCGCCUUUAUCCAAAGCUCUCCUGCAGCAAAAUAAACAUAUGCCCUAACGUUUGGAGGUGGCAGCGUGGAGUAGGAGGCUCUUAACUCAGUUUUCAGACUAUCAAUAUCAGCGGUGCAAUCUUCCCGGUGACACGGUACCAACGUUACACCACAUCACAGUGUGGGGAGUGGACGUAACCUGAAGGGUAAGAGUCACAAGAUGGUGGCGUAUUACUGAAAUUCCACUCAAUCAUCGACAACCGGCCCAACUCGUCAUCAUGUCAUACGACCACAAUGGGUCCCAAAGCAUUCCCACUCAGGUUUGCAGGUUUCCAUUCAACUCAUCAGUUUCUAGAAACAGGAGAGGUCUCUACCCCCAGAGACGUCUACCGAGUGCUCUUAGGAGACCGUCUUGUCUCUUGCUCCGAGCCCCCCACCCCCACCCCGCAAGGUGUUAAUGUAAUACUGGAUCUUUCUUGUGGCAUAGCCUAUUUAUUUGUUCUUUUGCCCUUAGCUACUAUUUCUCCUUCUAUUUGUGAUUUAUUUUUAUUCAGACUAUCUCCUGUUGGAAGGAAUGUGUGUGAAGUUCAGCCCGGUGAUACGCUGUUCCUGAUUGCCUGCACUGACACUACUUGAGGAAAUGCACCCCCCUCAGUCCAUUCCCCUUCAUACAAGAGCUACACAGUCAUACCAGCGUUCUCCCUCACCCCUUCUGGAGACCCCCCAGAAAAGCAGAGAAAUCUACCGAGUAAGCAACACCCUCAUGAAGAUACGAUCUGAACACGGCAGGACAAGAUAAGGGUGAAGAAAUGUGGGCACUUGACUCAGGCACAAAGUUUGAUGAGAUGCCAAAAUAAUCAGUAAUCAAGAUAAACAAUGUUUUAAGAUGAUAUUACAAAAGCAUCAAAAUUAAUCCAUGGUGAAGCAAAAAAAAUCCAUGGUGAAGACAUAUCAAAAUCGUAAAGAUCAUCUCGACAUGACUGACCGAAUGAGUCAUAGAAGUUUGUAAUGGGGUUACAUUCCUACGGUCACCACCCCAAAGCAGGUUAUCACCUCAUUCUUGGUCUUUAAAAAUUGUUGAUUCCAACAUUUUUAUCUGAUUUGAAAAAUAACAAAUAGACUUCACAUUUUCGUUCUUUUUAAAAAUUUUUUUUUCAACAUUUAUUUAUUUUUGGGACAGAGAGAG
Molecule: long non-coding RNA, 3296 nt
Organism: Felis catus (domestic cat)
Lineage: Eukaryota; Metazoa; Chordata; Mammalia; Carnivora; Felidae
Exons: 3
Source: RefSeq, a predicted model, not a curated record